This 469-nucleotide ribosomal RNA is filed under the name uncultured bacterium. RNAcentral's name for it is "partial 16S ribosomal RNA". It matches the Rfam family "Bacterial small subunit ribosomal RNA", at positions 28 to 507 of the family's 1533-position model. The record is from RNAcentral.
GACGAACGCUGGCGGCGUGCUUAACACAUGCAAGUCGAACGGAAAGGCCCUGCUUGCAGGGUGCUCGAGUGGCGAACGGGUGAGUAACACGUGGGUGAUCUGCCCCUUACUUUGGGAUAAGCCUGGGAAACUGGGUCUAAUACUGGAUAGGACCAUGCUGUAGGUGGUGUGGUGGAAAGAUUAGUUUCGGUAAGGGAUGAGCUCGCGGCCUAUCAGCUUGUUGGUGGGGUAAUGGCCUACCAAGGCGUCGACGGGUAGCCGGCCUGAGAGGGUGGACGGCCACAUUGGGACUGAGAUACGGCACAGACUCCUACGGGAGGCAGCAGUGGGGAAUAUUGCACAAUGGGCGCAAGCCGGAUGCAGCGACGCCGCGUGGGGGAUGACGGCCUUCGGGUUGUAAACUCCUUUCAGCCAUGACGAAGCCCUUGUGGUGACGGUAGUGGUAGAAGAAGCACCGGCUAACUACGUG